Molecule: transfer RNA, 88 nt
Filed under: Cordylochernes scorpioides
Lineage: Eukaryota; Metazoa; Arthropoda; Arachnida; Pseudoscorpiones; Chernetidae
Description: tRNA-Tyr
Source: RNAcentral
CUCCUCGAGCCGGAUUUGAACCAGCGACCUAAGGAUCACCGUUGUAGCAUCUACAGUCCUCCGCUUUGCCAACUGAGCUAUCGAGAGA